Molecule: long non-coding RNA, 6878 nt
Filed under: Homo sapiens (human)
Lineage: Eukaryota; Metazoa; Chordata; Mammalia; Primates; Hominidae
Description: HSALNT0089478
Source: RNAcentral
CUGGCCCGCACACCUGGCGGGGCCGGCGAGUUGAGAUGCCCCCGCCGGCUGGCGGAACUGUGCGCCCCGCCCGCCGAGGCCCGCUCCCCCUCGAGGCCUGAGGCCCAGUUCUAUAGGGGCGCGAGAGAGCGGCGGCGUGGGGGGCGCGGAGGAAGCGCCGGCCCCCGCCUCCACCGCCUCCUUCGUGGUUGCGGCCCAGGCCGAACAGGGUACCGUGCCCCGGCCGCCUUGGCCUUGGCCACCGCGAGGUCCGGGGCGACUACACCCAGCAGCCCUGUGGCCCUCCUACUGCUCUGGAGACCUGGAGUGGGGUUACAGAGGGAAGCGACUCGCUGCGAGCUCCCCAUCGAAUAUGGAGCCACCAGGUCACGGGACGACGUGCGCUCUACAGAAUGUGAGACAAGGGCCCUCCACACCCAGCCAUUCAGGCCUGAGGUCCUGGCUCCGAGACUGAGGCCGAGACGCGGCAAGCCCCGCGCCGGACCAGCUCUGCCCCUCCCGCACCCACGUGUCUGCGCACAGCCCUCCUUUGCGAUAGAACCCCCUUCCUGGUUCUCCACCACUAAUGAUCUGCCGGAAUUAAACUGGUAACUUUCCCUGCCCUUGAACCGGGAGUUUCGGGAUGAGUUUGCCAAUCCCUGUGCUAUUUGUAACCAGCCCCGUGACACGUGAUACGGAUCCAACUGUGCUAGUUUCCACACCAGGGGUCAGGGCACGGUGGAAGGUGAGUCAAGGGUUCUCUGCCCAAGCGCAGAGGUGCCCUGAGCCACGGGGACUUCCCAGCCCUGCCUUCUCUUCUCAGCUUCCUGUCUGCCUUGCCUGAAACCCUAUCUAGAGUUAAGGCCAAUGGAUGAAACUUUUCAAUGUGCAAGCAAGCACUUUACCUACCUGAUACAACAAGAGAUUCCUGGUCAUGCUCACUGAAGGUAAAGUAUGAAGCAGGCUUAGCUAAUCAUCAGAGGUGAGAAGAGACUUAAAGAACCAGUCAGAGAGGUAAAGAGGGGAGGGGGUUACCUGGGCUUUAGGGUUCACCAGGGAGGCAGAACGGACAAGUUCUUGCCAUUGGAAUUUGGUGGGGCACUUGCCUGGGUGGCCAAAGGUGGACUUUUUCAUAGCCAGGGUGCCCGACCUCUGUAAAUCCCCGCCAUAACUAACAGCCCUGAUUACUGUCGAAAUGAACAAUGCCAACACUCACGACCCCUUGCUUUGUGGUUCUUUGCUACAUCUCUCCAGCAGUUCAGAAAAGGUUGGAGGCAGCAGGGGACAGGAGACUGAGAAAAACAGUCAUUUGUCAGUUGAGGAAACUGAGGUCCAGGCUGACAGAGGUAAAGUAACCUCUGCAGCUGGUUGACAUGCAGAGAAGGCCUGAGCCAGAUGCAGAUGCGCUGACCAUUCAGUGUUUCUCCCGCAGCACACCUGUCACUCAGAGAACACACCAUGCUGUGAACCCAGAAAACGCCCUCAUGGCCUUGUGAUGCCAAGCACGUUUAGAUUAUUAUAACAAUACAGGCACUGUGUCCCAAGGACAUUGCAGUAAUCUAUGUUUGGGGUGGAGAUAUCCUUCCUGGUCCAAGUGUCAAGGUAUACCACCUUCUGGAAGGGCACCAAAGCAUGUCCAGCGAAUGGGCAGAUACCCAAGAGUGGAUUGUACAACAGCAGGCACUGGCUUUCUAAGAACUCAGGCCCUCAUUAUAGGAUUUGUCCCCUCUGACACAGGCCUGUGAACAACUCUUCAUUGUGCAAAAGGGUUUCCUUGUCCUUUCCCUACUCAUUCUUCCCUUCCCCCUUAUUUGAAACUGAAUCUCUGGCCAUGUCAUGUGCAGGCCUGCAAGGGGCCUGUUGAUACAGCUGCCCCUCUGGUGCCACAUGACUGCAGGCUCACCACCCAUGACAGACUUGAAUAUCCUGGCACCAAGGACAAUCAGAUUAGCCUCCACUUGGUAUAUCUGCUGUUCUCACUGUUUGUGUCUAUGAGAGCCUGUUUGACUAAAUUAAACUCCUUGGAAAUUGAUCAUCGAUUAUGUAUGAAAGACAUACCCACCAGCCUUUGAGGUACUUAUCUUUGUAGCCCACCUAGCCUUAGGAGAGAAGCUGCGUGGCCUGGUCACUAUCUAGUGGUCUUCCCUGGCCUGUGUGGUAGUGAAAAAGAUAAAAGCCAGACCGAAUCCUUAGAAAAACAGCAUCAGAACAAGAUUAAAAACCUCGAAUUCAGUGACUGUAGAAGCAUAAAGCAGAGGCAUGUGUUCAUGUAUUUAGCCAGCACAGAUUUACCAACUACCAAUAAAACACGGAACUUGUAUUUUAUUGAGGAGAAAGGCAAUAAAAUAUGUAAGUUAUACAGAGAAUUAGAAAGUGAUUGAGUGCCAGGGAGAACAAUAAAUCACAGAUGGGGACUGGGGAGCACCCCAUUUUAAAUAGGGGAGUUAAGGAAGGCAUCUCUGAGAAGGUGAGAUUGCAGCAAAAACUUGAAGGGAAUGAGGAAGCAAGUGUAUCAAUGAUCUAUUAUUGCAUAACAACUUACCCCAAAACUUUGAAGUUUGAAACAGCAAAAAUGUAUUCUCAGGGUUUCUGAUCAGGGUCAGAAACUGCAAGUGGCUUAGCUGGGUACUUCUGGCUGAGCCUCUCAGAGGCUGCAGUCUAGCAGUUGGCCAGGGCUGUGGUCAUCUGAAGGCUGGACUGGGGCUGGAGGAUCUGCUGCCAAGGUGGCACAUUCACAGGGCUAUUGGCAGGAGGCCUCAGUUCCUCACUAUGUGGAUUUCUCCACCCAGCCUCCCCUCACGUGAGUGAUCCAAGGGAGAGCAAACAAAGGGGAAGCUGUGGUGCCUUUUCUGACGAGGCUCUGCACUUCCAUACCAUCACUUCUCUUUAUUCUGGUCCUUAGAAUUGAGUCACAAAGUCAAGGGGAAUGGGAUUAGGUGCCACCUCUUGUAGGGAAGAGUAAGAAUUUGUAAGCAUAGUUCGUGAUUUUUUGUGGGAAGUAGGGAAGAGUGCUUCAGGCAGAAGUAACCACAGGUGCAAAGGCCCUGAGGUAGGAACACACAUAUUAGCAUAUUCAAAGGAGAGCAAGAGGCCAGGGUGGCUGCAGUUGGUGAGCAAGGGGGAGAGUAGGAGAGGAGGUCAGAGAGGAAAGGCAUGUGCAGGGCCAAGGGCACCAGGUUGUGCAGGGCCUUUAAGUAGGUGGGAAGCCUUUGAAUGGUUUUUGAGCUGAUGUGAUGAGCUUUGACAGUGAUGUGAUCUGAUUUCUUUUAAAAAAGAAAUUGGUGGCUGUUGCAGUAAGAAUAGCCCAAGGAGGAGCCAGGAUGGAUGGGAAGAGGCCAGUUAGGAGGCUGUGGUAACAACCCAGGAGUUAUGUCUGUAGCUUGUGUAUGAAGGUGAUGAAAGGGAUGAGACUUUGGAUAUAUCUUGAAGAUAGAGUCAAUGGGAUUUUCCAUGAACCACAUGUGGGUUUUGAUUCCAAGGUUUUGGAUCUGAGCAAGUGGAAGAAUGGUUCUGGCAUGAGCAAGAUGGGGAAUCCUAAGAGUGGGACAAGUUUGAGAGGAGGAGCUUCAGAGUCCAUUUGGGGACAUGUUAAUUUUGUCCAUUAGACAUCCGAGUAGAGAAGCUGAGUAGGCAAUUGAAUAUGGAGGCUUGGAGUUCAGGAAUUCGGAAGGAAUACUUUCCUGUGGUCUGUGAGUGACAUUACAAAAUUGAGGAGGCUGGGCUCCCUCUCUGGAAGAGUAACAAUUAGUCCUUUGGAGGGUUCUAAACACACAAAGCAAGGGAGGGGCUGGUGCCAACCAAGUGCAGUUUUCAGAUGUUUCUGGGGUGCAGAGCACAGCUAGUGCGGCUGGGAGGCAUGAGUUUCACCCAGAGCAGGGGGCUUCUGCUGCUCUGUUCCCAAAACAGUGCCCUAAGGAACACAUAUCUUUCACUUCAACAAGACAGGCCACGUAUUUCUUCCCAGGGCACUGCCAACCCUGAGAAGAAACUCAGGGCAAGUGGAUUGACCUGCAGAAUUCAGUGGCACCAUUUUUCAGAAUUCAUAAGAUGGCAGAAAGACAAUCAGCUAAUCAAGUCUGCCAACUUCUAGGUCUCUUUUCUCUUUUGGUCUCUUUCUAAUUCUGCCCCAAAUUAAUCUUAGCACCCAGAAGCACACAUUUCCCUGCUUCCAAUUUCUGAUGUUUUCUGAGCCCCAGCUGGGCUUGGUUUAUAGGAAUUUAUUCUUGAGCGCUCAGUCUUGGGUCCAUGUUUCAACACAUAUUUCCAGGACUCCCAAUGACUCCUCUGAACCAACCUGGGCCCCAUCCAGCUGUAUAACCCUGAAAAGGGUGUACCAAAGUCCCUGGGAUAUUUUCCUCCUCCCUAACCCCCAGGUCGGACUUAGACCCAGGGGCUUCAGAGACAUAUCAGGAGUGCAAGUAGAGGCUGACUAAUUUGGAAAGCUUGAAUUAAGGGUUUAGACUGGCUCCCUUAGCUGAUCCUAGUGCAAAGGCUAAUCUUUUGCAGAGUCAUUUUAUGGCGUGAGAUGGUGCUGUUGAUUUUGCACAGUUAAUAACAGCUCAGCCUGAGUGCUGCUAGCCUUAGCCAAGGGUGUAGAAUGCAAGCAGUUGUUUCAGCGAAAGUAAGAAUUUGCUGGGAGCACACUUGGCUUUUCUGAAGAGGCCUCUGCACUGCCAAGGGAGAAAGACCCCCCCUCAACAGUGGCCACAGCAUCUGGUCUGUGGCUAGAGGAGACCAACGUGUUGAUAUUAAGAGUUCUUUGGAAAAGUACUGUCUCUUCACUCAUUCACUGCUGACUGGAUCCCAAAGAAUGCACUGUCUCCCCAGCAUGCAGAAAGGGGAUGAAUCAAACUGAGUUUAGAUCCUGGCUUUGUCACUUACCAGCUGUGUGACCUGGGGCAAGUAAACAUCUUUUCUGUAUCUUAGUGUUCUCAUCUGUAAUGUGAGAAUAACCAGACCUACCUCGAAGGAUGUCUUGCUUGAAGAGUAAAUAUCUGGCACAUGGAGAGUGAUCAAUAAAUGGAUUUCUCCUUAACUACUACUCGUCUAGCUACACUCAUCUCAUCUUCCACCUGUGGCUCAGGAAGCUUGAGCUGAUGAAUCCAUGGAGACUGUAAAGAAAUAGCAGGGGAGGUCGAUCAGGGUGCUCACUGAGAGCAAACUGUGGCUCUGUUGAUUUCUGAUGCCCAGUUGGCAAUGGUUGGAGUUCCCAGCCUGCCAGCUCAGCUGUUUCUCCCUAUAGCGCAUCUCUCAGUUAUUUCUAGGAGUUCUUAAAGGUGUGCAUCGCAUCAUCUCAAAAACCAGCCCGUCCAACUUGUGUUAUCUGCCCUGUUGAUCUACCUUUGUUUUCCCAAGGUCUGCAGCCUCCAAAGCUUCUGAAAUGGGACUUGCUGCUGCUGGUAUCUUUAGAGGGGCAUGUGGUAUCCUGCCAAGGGUGAUUCCUUAGCCUGUCAGUGGCCCAGGGCUCAGGAUUCUACCUGCCUCACAUCUCCUGGAUCCAUCUGCAUGUCUUGGCCCAAUCUCCAUAUCCUCGGUUCUGGCCCCUCCACUACCUGGUUGCCACUGAUGAUUCCAAGGAUUCAGAUCAGCUCACAGUGCUCCAAAAAUAUAGCAAAGUGAAACAAAUGUGCAAAUAAAUGAUAAAAACAAAAGAAGAAAAAGAAAGAAAAGACUUAUUGUAUAUCCUACCUCCUUCAAACAGCUUGCUGUGAUGUGCAUGGUGGUGUGGGAACCUUCUGAUGUCAUACAUACAGUUGGUUGGAGCCACAAGAUCAAAUCCUGGCUCAUGGAAUAUGGUCAGAAGUGAUGAUGCCAAUUCUUCUGGGCCUGGCCCAUAAAAACUCCCAUCUAAUCUUUGCUUUUUCUUCAUCUGCCGGCCAAAUGAAGAUUUUAAGCAGAAUCACAGAAUGGGAAGAGCCUGGGCCCCUGAAUUACUAUAUGGAGCAGAACUCCUCCUCAAACCUACUUAUGACUGUGAUAAGAGCAAUGUAGUAAGUAUUGUGCUUAGCUAUUGCAGCAGCUAGCAUCAUUUAGUCUAACAGAGGUGGGAAUGGGAUGAAGAGGAAAAAGGAAGAAAACGAUGGGCAUAUGGUAUGAAUGGUGAGUGCUAUCAGAUCUUUCCACAGGUUCCUCUGCCCUGGCCUACCUAGAUAAAUUAAGCUGUUCCUUUUUUAACACAGAUUGGCAACAUUUUUUCUUUUUUUCAGACAGGGUCUCACUUGGUCACCCAGGCUGGAGUGCUCUGGCACAAUCUUGGCUCACGGCAACCUCCACCUCCCGUGUUCAAGCACUUCUCCUACCUCAGCAUCCCGAGUAGCUGGGACUACAGGCAUACGUCACCAUGCCCAGCUAAUUUUUAUAUUUUUUGGUAGAGUUGGGGUUUCACCAUGUUGGCCAGGCUGAUCUCGAACUCCUGACCUCAUGUGGUCUGCCCACCUCGACCUUCCAAAGUGCUGGGAUUACAGUAAUGCGCCACUGCACCCAGCCCAAAAUUUUCAAUAGUUAGGAUAAAUUCUUUCUUUUCUAAUUUCCUUCUUUUGCUCCUUCCUAAAUUUACCAUUUUGGGAGGCUUGAUUGUCUUAACUAAUUCUUUGGAACAUUAUGAUUUUUGAACUGUCUGAGACUGUGUUCCUGAGCAACUGGUUAGGAAGAAAGUCUGCAAAAAUUUAACAUCAAUUUAAAUAUAUCUUAAAAUAUAUUAAAAAUAAUCCCUUGUUAAACAAUUUUGACACUUUGGGAUAUACUCCAAAUGAAGCUUUCUAUAUAACCAAUAAAUAACAGUUCGAUCUGUACGCCUGUUCAAACAGUAGUACAAAGUUAAAAACCAAUUACUUGGCCAGCUUGCCUUGUCCUAACAUUAUGAUAUAGCUAUUACUAUCAAGUACAAAGACACAUAAACC